Molecule: ribosomal RNA, 954 nt
Filed under: uncultured Gammaproteobacteria bacterium
Lineage: Bacteria; Pseudomonadati; Pseudomonadota; Gammaproteobacteria
Description: bacterial SSU rRNA
Rfam family: Bacterial small subunit ribosomal RNA
Source: RNAcentral
AGGCUGGCCUUGACGUUUGAAAAAACGGCCAGCAGCCGCGGUAAUACGGAGGGUGCGAGCGUUAAUCGGAAUUACUGGGCGUAAAGCGCGCGUAGGCGGCCUGAUAAGUUGGAUGUGAAAGCCCCGGGCUCAACCUGGGAACUGCGUUCAAAACUGUCAGGCUAGAGUAUGGUAGAGGAUAGUGGAAUUUCCGGUGUAGCGGUGAAAUGCGUAGAGAUCGGAAGGAACAUCAGUGGCGAAGGCGGCUAUCUGGACCAAUACUGACGCUGAGGUGCGAGAGCGUGGGGAGCAAACAGGAUUAGAUACCCUGGUAGUCCACGCCGUAAACGAUGUCAACUAGCCGUUGGGGGGCUUGUCCCUUUAGUGGCGCAGCUAACGCGAUAAGUUGACCGCCUGGGGAGUACGGCCGCAAGGUUAAAACUCAAAUGAAUUGACGGGGGCCCGCACAAGCGGUGGAGCAUGUGGUUUAAUUCGAUGCAACGCGAAGAACCUUACCAGGUCUUGACAUCCCGAGAAUUUACUAGAGAUAGUUUAGUGCCUUCGGGAACUCGGUGACAGGUGCUGCAUGGCUGCCGUCAGCUCGUGUCGUGAGAUGUUGGGUUAAGUCCCGUAACGAGCGCAACCCUUGUCCUUAGUUGCCAGCACGUAAUGGUGGGAACUCUAAGGAGACUGCCGGUGACAAACCGGAGGAAGGUGGGGACGACGUCAAGUCAUCAUGGCCCUUACGACCUGGGCUACACACGUGCUACAAUGGUCGGUACAGAGGGUUGCCAAGCCGCGAGGUGGAGCUAAUCCCUUAAAACCGAUCGUAGUCCGGAUUGGAGUCUGCAACUCGACUCCAUGAAGCCGGAAUCGCUAGUAAUCGCGAAUCAGAAUGUCGCGGUGAAUACGUUCCCGGGCCUUGUACACACCGCCCAACAGACCAUGGGAGUGGGUUGCAAAAGAAGUGGGUAG